AAGCGUCGGAUGGUUUUUAUUUUUGAAGGACUUCUUGACGUUGUGUGUUUCCUCUUCCGGUGUGCUGCAGCUGUAUCGUCAUUGAUCCGAAGCAAAUAUGGCACCAGGAGCCACUUCCGCGACGGAGUCAGAAAAAGACUCCAAAAUGUUUAAAUAUCAAGAUGCUUCGAUAUCUUUACCAAAACACUCCUACUGGUAUGACUUCUGGCUCUUCGUGGUUUUUGACAUCGCGUUAUUCUUCUUCGUGUACUUCAUAGUCCCGUAACACGGUUCGUCCCCUGGACUUUGGAGACUGAAGAUGUGGAGUGAUUGUCCUGCCCUGCUGUCAGGAAUGCUAACCAGCUUUGACUGAAUUUAACACUACCUAACUGGAUAUCACAUUUCAAGUUUCCACGGCUUGGACCAUGGGACUGCAAGUUUUAUACAGAGGGAUCCUUCAUCGACCUCAGAGAUGUAAACCGCAGAGCUCCAUCCU
Centropristis striata (black sea bass) is the source of this 475-nucleotide long non-coding RNA. RefSeq lists it as uncharacterized. NCBI's taxonomy places the organism in Eukaryota, Metazoa, Chordata, Actinopteri, Perciformes, Serranidae. The transcript has 2 exons. The record is from RefSeq and is a predicted model, not a curated record.